GAACCAGGCCUGGGGAUCAAGCCUGCAACUGAGGUCGCUAUCUCCAUUGGGGAAGAAGAGGCAGGUCAGCCACCCAUCUCAGUGCCUGAAACUUCACUGACAGGACACAGAACAGCAAAGAGAGAGAAGAGGAGGAGCAUCUGCCAGGACAGAAGCAGAUCAUACAGUUUCCCAUCUCCAUUGACACUGGUGCCUUCAACGUCUCCUAUGAGCCUUCAGGAGGAAAAGUAAGGCUU
Myotis brandtii (Brandt's bat) is the source of this 236-nucleotide long non-coding RNA. RefSeq lists it as uncharacterized. NCBI's taxonomy places the organism in Eukaryota, Metazoa, Chordata, Mammalia, Chiroptera, Vespertilionidae. The record is from RefSeq and is a predicted model, not a curated record. The transcript is spliced from 3 exons.